GGGGAUGUGGCUCAGUGGCACAGCACCUGCCUGGCAAGCACAAGGUCCUGAGUUCAAUUCCCAGUACCA
RNAcentral lists this transfer RNA (69 nucleotides) under Cavia porcellus (domestic guinea pig). It matches the Rfam family "tRNA". From Rfam's summary of the family: Transfer RNA (tRNA) molecules are approximately 80 nucleotides in length. Their secondary structure includes four short double-helical elements and three loops (D, anti-codon, and T loops). Lineage: Eukaryota; Metazoa; Chordata; Mammalia; Rodentia; Caviidae. The record is from Rfam by way of RNAcentral.